AAGGAUUUAAGUUAAAGAAACUAAUAGCCUUCAAAGUUAUCAAUAGGGAAAUUUCCUAAGCCUUG
This 65-nucleotide transfer RNA is filed under the name Cucujoidea sp. 8 KM-2017. RNAcentral's name for it is "tRNA-Trp". Lineage: Eukaryota; Metazoa; Arthropoda; Insecta; Coleoptera. The record is from RNAcentral.